GACUACCAAGGCUGCGGCGACUUCGUCAAUGUCAAGAUGUUGUGCCGGUUCAGUCUCUCGAAGUUGCUCAUAGAGCUAGGGUGUGCGUGUGUGCGUUCAUGAGGGUCGUCAUCUUUGUCAAAAAGGUACUCCAUCCGUCCCAUAUUAAUUGAUGUUAAAAUGAGUGUAUCCAGUAUUAAAAUCCGUCUAGAUACAUCCAUUUCAGUUUUAAUUAAUAUAGGACAGAGAGGCGAACCAACAUGUGGUUGAGUUAGGAGGACAGUGGUAUUCUCAGCCCAUCAGGGUUCAAGUUCUAAACUUGAUAUUGGUGCUUGCAUUAUUUCUGGCGAUGUUCGUUCAGUGGGAAGAAAUGAUCCUGUCGAUUGCGAGGCGUCUGUGGUGAGUUCGUAAGAUCUCAAGAUGCUAUGUCGGCUCAGUCUACCAGAGGUGCUCAUACGGGUAUGCUGUGCAUGUGUGUGUUAAUAGGAAUGAGUGUAUGCGUGUAUAUAUAAUUAUAUAUGAGCGUUUGCGGCUGUACUGUGUUAAAAAAAUACAAAUUGUAUGUACAUGAUAUUUUUUAAACUAUGUAUGUACAUGAUUUGAUUUGACGGCAGAAACAAGUUUUUUUUUACUAUCUAUAGAAAACCAACCGGCCGCGUGUACCCGCACCGUAUCGAUCCGGUUAAGCCAACCCGAGUCUGCUCGCUUGGCCCAUCCUACCGCUCGGCCACACGAGACAAAGCCGCGCAGGAGGCCUUAGGCGCUGUUCCUUUCCCGGCGAUCGCCGGCGACGGCCCGUCCCGACCUGACCCGGGCAGCGCGGCUGUGUGUCCUUGGCGUGGAAGAUCGUAGGGACAGAGCGGCCGAGCGGGGCUGGUUCGGAGCUGGAUUCGCGCGCUCGUCUGAACUCAGCGCCUGCAUUCGCGCACCAUCCACUCGUCGGCUCCAACAACUGCUUCCGAUCGAGGCGACCCACGCCCGUGGAAUCCUCUCCAGCCAAAAUGGCGCCAGGCUCGGAUGCUCCACAGUAACCACGCUACUCGCGACGGCGGCCUGCUCAGCUCAGCUCAGUUGCCUGCAUCUGCAUUCGGGGUCGGGCGCCCUGCAGGUGUUCGGUGAAUUGCCACGCUAGGGAGAUUGCGCCGUUAAGAGUUGGGUAACGGAUCCAGGACUGCCGACUGGCGAAUGGUUUCGUGGUGAUUAUAUAACAACGACUUGACUCGGCGCGUGGGCGUCGUCGGGACGAAGGUGCCUAGCCUGAGCCUCUGCGGACCGACGUACGUCAGCGGUCAUCGGAGAUCGAAAGUGAAGCAAGGAACCAAGUCUUCCCCGGUCAAUAAACUAAGCUAUUCUAGCCUUGCUUUUUAAGAUGAAGCCGAUCGGAAACAUCGUGAGGAGCACGCGCGUCUUCGUGUAGAUCAUCGUUGGACUUGGAGACAUGCUGUUCGGCCCGGUCAUGAUUCUCUUCUGUUGUCUUUACCACUACGACAGCCUUCCUUCCGUCCUAGGUGUUACUUGGAUAUUUUCUCCGUACGUGUGUUCUUUGGAUCCUCCAUCUCCUUUCUCCUUAUUAUAGGUAUAUAUAUAUAUAUAUAUACAAACCAGGUCUUUUUUUUCUUAAUCAUUGUGAUGCAGAAUGGCGAAUGCCAUGGCAGCGACAGGUGAAAAA
Molecule: long non-coding RNA, 1648 nt
Organism: Aegilops tauschii subsp. strangulata
Lineage: Eukaryota; Viridiplantae; Streptophyta; Magnoliopsida; Poales; Poaceae
Source: RefSeq, a predicted model, not a curated record